GAUGAAGAACGUAGCGAAAUGCGAUACGUAAUGUGAAUUGCAGAAUUCAGUGAAUCAUCGAGUCUUUGAACGCGCAUUGCGUCCCCUGGUAUUCCGGGGGGCAUGCCUGUCCGAGCGUCAUUGCUGCCCUCAAGCCCGGCUUGUGUGUUGGGUCUCGUCCCCCUUCCCGGGGGGACGGGCCCGAAAGGCAGCGGCGGCACCGCGUCCGGUCCUCGAGCGUAUGGGGCUUUGUCACCCACUCUGUAGGCCCGGCCGGCGCUUGCCGAUCAACCAAAACUUUUUUCCAGGUUGACCUCGGAUCAGGUAGGGAUACCCGCUGAACUUAAGCAUAUCAAUAAGCGGAGGA
Molecule: unclassified non-coding RNA, 346 nt
Filed under: soil metagenome
Description: partial contains 5.8S ribosomal RNA, internal transcribed spacer 2, and large subunit ribosomal RNA
Rfam family: 5.8S ribosomal RNA (bases 1-120)
Source: RNAcentral